GCUUCGGUGGCCUAGUGGUUGGAGCAUCUGCCUCAGAUGCGGGAGGUCACAGGUUCAAAUACUGGCUGAGUCA
Potamilus streckersoni is the source of this 73-nucleotide non-coding RNA. The record is from the annotation of a GenBank genome assembly. Lineage: Eukaryota; Metazoa; Mollusca; Bivalvia; Unionida; Unionidae.